CCAGAGUCGGACACGACUGGCCUGUAUGGGCAGGGGUACCUUUACCUUUACAUUAAGUUUAAUUUUUCCUUGGUGCAUCUAACCCAUUUUAGAUCUCAUGGCAACCAGGCGAUGAACUUUUUUUGCAGUGGCACCCAACCUCUGAAAUCUCUCUCUUUCUCUGUGUCACACACAGAGACGCGCACACACACGUGUGUGUGUAAGGCAGUUACCACCUGUGAUGUUGUUUCAGCAUCUGUUAAAGGCUGCUUUGUUCAUUUAAGCAUUCUGCUGUUUUUAUUGCCAGCCUUGUUCUGAUAAUUUUUACUGAGGUUUAUUGUACUUCUUUUAUGUCUGCAUUUUAAUGUAUUUGUUUUGUACUUUAGUAGUAGAAGAAGAAGAGUUUGGAUUUGAUAUCCUGCUUUAUCACUACCCUAAGGAGUCUCAAAGCGGCUACCAAUCUCCUUUCCCUUCCUCCCCCACAACAAACACUCUGUGAGGUGAGUGAGGCUGAGAGACUUCAGAGAAGUGUGACUGGCACAAGGUCACCCAGCAGCUGCAUUUGGAGGAGCGGGGAAGCGAACCCGGUUCACCAAAUUACAAGUCCACCGCUCUUAACCACUACACCACACUGGCUCUCAGUAAGUAAUAAGGGUUGCAAUCCUAAAUAUUACUUACUAGGGUAAACUUGCAUAGAAUUGCAAGUGUGUCUUGUUGGUUUGAUAUGUUUUGUACACUACCCUGAGGUAGUUUUGAUAAUGAAGGACAGCAUAAGAGCUGCUGCUGCUGAUUUUAUACCUGAUAGAAUGUAGCAGACAAACCAUUAUGUAAGCUCAAACAUUAGUAUCAUUGCUCCACUGAUCAGUGGGAAAGUACAUUUGUGUCCACAGGAACUGGGCUAGAAUGUUAGCAAAACCAAGAAAUUGAAGUGACUAGUUUUUGCAUGGGCACCAUACAUUUAAAGCAGGUGGCAAUUCUAUGCAAGUUUACCCUAGUAAGUAAUAUUCAGGAUUGCAACCGUUAUUACUUACUGAGCCACUUAGGCUAUAACCUUAAACACAUCUACUGUACUGGGAUUAGACUCCAUUAGACACAAUGUAACAUACUUCUGCAUAAACAAGAAUUGGAUUACACUACUUGUGAUGUAAAACCAAGGUACUUUAAAGCUUAGAGGGUGUAGCAGUGCCUUUUUAGGAUUUCCAGGCUAAACAUCAGGAGCACUACAAAUUACAGGAGUUAUGUAAAGAAAUUACAUCUUAUUUUAAGGUUGUAGGCAGAAAUACAGAGACAGAGAUUAAGCACAGGUC
Molecule: non-coding RNA, 1286 nt
Organism: Podarcis lilfordi (Lilford's wall lizard)
Lineage: Eukaryota; Metazoa; Chordata; Lepidosauria; Squamata; Lacertidae
Source: the annotation of a GenBank genome assembly